RNAcentral lists this ribosomal RNA (468 nucleotides) under uncultured bacterium. RNAcentral's name for it is "partial 16S ribosomal RNA". It matches the Rfam family "Bacterial small subunit ribosomal RNA", at positions 28 to 507 of the family's 1533-position model. The record is from RNAcentral.
GACGAACGCUGGCUGCGUGCUUAACACAUGCAAGUCGAACGGAAAGGCCCUGCUUUUGUGGGGUGCUCGAGUGGCGAACGGGUGAGUAACACGUGAGUAACCUGCCCUCGACUAUGGGAUAACUUCAGGAAACUGGGGCUAAUUACGGAUAGGAGCUCCUGCUGCAUGGUGGUGGUUGGAAAGGUUCGGCGGUUGGGGAUGGUCUCGCGGCUUAGCAGCUUGUUGGUGGGGUGGUUGCUUACCAAGGCGUUGACGGGGAGCCGGCGUGAGAGGGGGACCGGGCACAGUGGGACUGAGAUACGGCACAGACUCGUACGGGAGGCAGAAGUGGGGAAGAUUGCACAAUGGGCCGACGCCGGAUGCAGCAACGCCGCGUGCGGGAUGACGGGCUUUGGGGUGUAAACCGCUUGCUACUGUGACGAAGCGUGAGUGACGGUAAUGGGUAAGGAAGCACCGGCUAACUACGUG